CGUUCGACCAGGGCUGCUUGGCGGCCCAUUCGACGGUGUCAAAGCCGUCCCGCUCGUCAUAGCGGAACGGGUCCCACUCGCCGUCGGACUCGUGCCGGCCCCUGAUGUCCUGAAAGACGUAGACGUAGCAGCGCUGCGCGAAGUGCACCGCCGCCGCGUACGCGGACGGUGCCCGUUCGGUGCUGUACGGCGUUCUCGACACGAUCA
RNAcentral lists this unclassified non-coding RNA (207 nucleotides) under uncultured bacterium. RNAcentral's name for it is "contains 16S-23S intergenic spacer region". The record is from RNAcentral.